CUUUGAAAAGGCUCACCUGCACCUUGGUUAAAAGCCCCAAGCUUAUUCCAACAUGCAGUGUCUGUCAGGAAGCUCAAACUGAGAAUAAAAUUCCUCUGUGACCUUACUGCCCACUGAAAUUGCCAGAUGAGUGAAGAAAUGUCAAUUGAAACAAAGAGUGGCUAAAGGGAAAGCCUGUAUUAAUUCAAGUUCUACAGACUCUUACAACAAGUAGGGAAAAGAAUUUUAACCCCGGUGUUCUGAUGAAAUUCCAGACUCUGUAAUUACAUUAGCUCUGAAGUCCACCUGCAGUUUUAAUAUAAAAAGCUGUUCUGCUUCGAGCUGUCGCCUGCCAUGCAGUUACGCUGCUCAGUGUCAAACAGGUGCUGGAGUUCAUCAGACAGGUAAAAGGCUUCAUGAGGGCUACAAGGGCUGCUGAGGAGCUGCAGUGCCAUGCCCUUGCUGUUCAUUCCUGCCUUGAGGUGGAACUAAAGAUCAUCAGCCGACUCAUAUGGAGAACUGUGAUGCUGUCUCUUCCAGAGGCUCAUUAG
This 530-nucleotide long non-coding RNA is filed under the name Anas platyrhynchos platyrhynchos (common mallard). RNAcentral describes it as "lncRNA (ENSAPLG00000021417.1)". The record is from RNAcentral. Lineage: Eukaryota; Metazoa; Chordata; Aves; Anseriformes; Anatidae.